CUUGAUUUUUUGUUUUAAAAAAUUAUCACAUACACGGUCCUUUCCAGAUGAAACGUAAUCGUGGUCUCAUGCCGGACUGUUCUGAAACCUGUUUGCAGUCUGGAUUUUUUCGCUUAUUGCACAAUGUAUCCAUAGAAAGAUCUUUUGUAUGCUUAACGUUAAGUUGCAGCCAUAAAGCAAGCAGAUAUAUGACGGUCUUAAACAUGCCCACAAGAGAGUAGAGCAGAGCGAGGGAAGGGCGUGCACAUAUAUUAAAUUGGAUGAAAAAUUAACUGGCGAUGUUUAUGCUUUUAUAUCGCUGCAAAUUUCGGUUUACCCAAUAGACACUAUAUUUGUAUAAUACAUAAGUCUAAUAUCGUCUACAAUGGCAGUGGCUGAUAAAAUGUAAUUGUUGCGACUUGGGCAAACAUAAAUCAUGGGGCAAAUCUUAAA
Drosophila hydei is the source of this 432-nucleotide long non-coding RNA. RefSeq lists it as uncharacterized. NCBI's taxonomy places the organism in Eukaryota, Metazoa, Arthropoda, Insecta, Diptera, Drosophilidae. The transcript has 3 exons. The record is from RefSeq and is a predicted model, not a curated record.